CCUACGGGAGGCAGCAGUGGGGAAUAUUGGGCAAUGGAGUAAACUCUGACCCAGCAACGCCGCGUGAAUGAUGAAGGUCUUCGGAUUGUACAGUUCUUUUCUAAGGGAAGCAGCAAGUGACGGUACCUUAGGAAUAAGCCUCGGCUAACUACGUGACAGCAGCCGCCUUAAUACGUAGGGGCAGAGCGUUAUCCGGAAUGACUGGGCGUAAGGGGUGCGUAGGUGGUUUGGCAAGUUAGUAGCGUAACUCCAAGGCUCAACCUUGGAACUACUAUUAAAACUGCUGGACUUGAGUGCCGGAGAGGCAACCGGAAUGCCUAGUGUAGCGGUGGAAUGCGUAGAUAUUAGGAGGAACACCAGUGGCGAAGGCGGGUUGCUAGACUGUAACUGACACUGAGGCACGAAAGCGUGGGGAGCAAACAGGAUUAGAUACCCUAGUAGUC
Molecule: ribosomal RNA, 443 nt
Filed under: uncultured bacterium
Lineage: Bacteria
Description: partial 16S ribosomal RNA
Rfam family: Bacterial small subunit ribosomal RNA
Source: RNAcentral